CCGCUUUCGCCUGUGACGAAGCGUGAGUGACGGUACCUGCAGAAAAAGCACCGGCUAACUACGUGCCCAGCAGCCGCGGUAAUACGUAGGGUGCAAGCGUUAUCCGGAAUUAUUGGGCGUAAAGAGCUCGUAGGCGGUUUAGUCGCGUCUGCUGUGAAAACUGGAGGCUCAACCUCCAGCCUGCAGUGGGUACGGGCAGACUAGAGUGCGGUAGGGGAGAUUGGAAUUCCUGGUGUAGCGGUGGAAUGCGCAGAUAUCAGGAGGAACACCGAUGGCGAAGGCAGAUCUCUGGGCCGUAACUGACGCUGAGGAGCGAAAGCAC
Molecule: ribosomal RNA, 322 nt
Filed under: uncultured bacterium
Lineage: Bacteria
Description: bacterial SSU rRNA
Rfam family: Bacterial small subunit ribosomal RNA
Source: RNAcentral